This 510-nucleotide ribosomal RNA is filed under the name Wolinella succinogenes. RNAcentral describes it as "bacterial SSU rRNA". It matches the Rfam family "Bacterial small subunit ribosomal RNA", at positions 217 to 744 of the family's 1533-position model. The record is from RNAcentral. Lineage: Bacteria; Pseudomonadati; Campylobacterota; Epsilonproteobacteria; Campylobacterales; Helicobacteraceae.
UCUAAGAGAUCAGCCUAUGUCCUAUCAGCUUGUUGGUGAGGUAAUGGCUCACCAAGGCUAUGACGGGUAUCCGGCCUGAGAGGGUGAUCGGACACACUGGAACUGAGACACGGUCCAGACUCCUACGGGAGGCAGCAGUAGGGAAUAUUGCUCAAUGGGCGAAAGCCUGAAGCAGCAACGCCGCGUGGAGGAUGAAGGUCUUCGGAUUGUAAACUCCUUUUCUAAGAGAAGAUUAUGACGGUAUCUUAGGAAUAAGCACCGGCUAACUCCGUGCCAGCAGCCGCGGUAAUACGGAGGGUGCAAGCGUUACUCGGAAUCACUGGGCGUAAAGAGCACGUAGGCGGCCUUGCAAGUCAGAUGUGAAAUCCAACGGCUUAACCGUUGAACUGCAUUUGAAACUGCAAGGCUAGAGUAUGGGAGAGGUAGGUGGAAUUCUCGGUGUAGGGGUAAAAUCCGUAGAGAUCGAGAGGAAUACUCAUUGCGAAGGCGACCUGCUGGAACAUUACUGAC